RNAcentral lists this ribosomal RNA (463 nucleotides) under uncultured bacterium. Its description in RNAcentral is "partial 16S ribosomal RNA". It matches the Rfam family "Bacterial small subunit ribosomal RNA", at positions 28 to 507 of the family's 1533-position model. The record is from RNAcentral.
GACGAACGCUGGCGGCGUGCUUAACACAUGCAAGUCGAACGGAAAGGCCUUUUCGGAGGUACUCGAGUGGCGAACGGGUGAGUAACACGUGGGUGAUCUGCCCUGCACUCUGGGAUAAGCCUGGGAAACUGGGUCUAAUACCGGAUAGGACCGCACUUUAGUGUGUGUGGUGGAAAGUUUUUUCGGUGUAGGAUGAGCCCGCGGCCUAUCAGCUUGUUGGUGGGGUAAUGGCCUACCAAGGCGGCGACGGGUAGCCGGACUGAGAGGUUGGUCGGCCACAUUGGGACUGAGAUACGGCCCAGACUCCUACGGGAGGCAGCAGUGGGGAAUAUUGCACAAUGGGCGCAAGCCUGAUGCAGCGACGCCGCGUGGGGGAUGACGGCCUUCGGGUUGUAAACUCCUUUCCCCAGGGACGAAGCGUUUUGUGACGGUACCUGGAGAAGAAGCACCGGCUAACUACGUG